Molecule: ribosomal RNA, 310 nt
Filed under: uncultured Ruminococcus sp.
Lineage: Bacteria; Bacillati; Bacillota; Clostridia; Eubacteriales; Oscillospiraceae
Description: bacterial SSU rRNA
Rfam family: Bacterial small subunit ribosomal RNA
Source: RNAcentral
GACGAACGCUGGCGGCACGCUUAACACAUGCAAGUCGAACGGUGAAGUAACUUCGGUUAUGGAACAGUGGCGGACGGGUGAGUAACACGUGAGCAAUCUGCCUUUAAGUGGGGAAUAACAUUUGGAAACGGAUGGUAAUACCGCAUAAUAUAGACGAACCGCAUGGUUUGCCUAUCAAAGAUUUAUCGCUUAAAGAUGAGCUCGCGUCUGAUUAGAUAGUUGGUGAGGUAACGGCUCACCAAGUCGACGAUCAGUAGCCGGACUGAGAGGUUGAACGGCCACAUUGGGACUGAGACACGGCCCAGACUCC